This 451-nucleotide ribosomal RNA is filed under the name uncultured bacterium. Its description in RNAcentral is "partial 16S ribosomal RNA". It matches the Rfam family "Bacterial small subunit ribosomal RNA", at positions 354 to 796 of the family's 1533-position model. The record is from RNAcentral.
GUGGGGAAUAUUGCGCAAUGGGGGAAACCCUGACGCAGCGACGCCGUGUGAGGGAAGAAGGCUUUCGGGUCGUAAACCUCUGUCAGAAAGGAAGAACCUCCCAUAUCCGAAUAGGGUGUGGGACUGACGGUACUUUCAAAGGAAGCACCGGCUAACUCUGUGCCAGCAGCCGCGGUAAUACGGAGGGUGCUAGCGUUAAUCGGAAUCACUGGGCGUAAAGCGCGCGUAGGCCGCUUCUUAAGUCGGACGUGAAAGCCCUCGGCUCAACCGGGGAACUGCGGUCGAUACUGGGAGGCUUGAGUCCUGGAGAGGGUGGCGGAAGUCCGGGUGUAGGAGUGAAAUCCGUAGAUAUCCGGAGGAACACCGGUGGCGAAGGCGGCCACCUGGACAGGUACUGACGCUGAGGCGCGAAAGCGUGGGGAGCAAACAGGAUUAGAUACCCGAGUAGUCC